Molecule: long non-coding RNA, 1322 nt
Organism: Fukomys damarensis (Damara mole-rat)
Lineage: Eukaryota; Metazoa; Chordata; Mammalia; Rodentia; Bathyergidae
Exons: 4
Source: RefSeq, a predicted model, not a curated record
GCCACCUCCCGCCCGCGGUCCCGUCCGGCCCGGCGCUGACGCUCCUCACCGCCUUUCACCACCUUGUCUUGGAACAGUGCAAGGGACGUGGUAGGCUUGAAUCUUUUCCAAGAGAUUCGAAGGUGAAGAUCUUCAGGUUAUUUAGUACCUCAGUAUUCCACAGGAAGGAAAAGCUCCUAUUGGCCUUCAUAAUGUACUUAAAAUAUACCUUAAUUUCGUGUGAGUGAACGCUUCCUCUCCGUUCGGCCUCCCUGACCUGGGUAAUUUCUCUGAGAAAGCAGAAAGCAGCUCUUACAGUCUCCCCAGCGACUCAGGCGGCGGGAGGCACUGGUGCUGUGCUCCGGAUACUUUGACCCCGGAGUCAAGGAGUCACCCUGGGCACUCAGAUGUAUUUCAGAUGUAAUGCAAGUGAGGGAGCCAAAUUUAUUAAGUAAAUCCAGUUUUUAAAUUUAGUAAACUGUAGAAGGGGCUUUAGGAUGUUUUGUUUGGAUCACAUGUUCACAACAUACCUGUACAUUUCAGUCUAUCUGAGCAGAAGGGACAUUUACAGAGGGAGAAAAAGGGUGCAGCAGGGCAUGGGGAGUGGGAUCGCGUCUCAAAGACCUUGGUACGUUUGUUCAGUUACAAAGAUUGUUGUGGUCUGUGCCCUCACUCAUGAUGGAUUCCAGGGCAGCCAGGAGCCACCCCGCAGGCCGGAGUGACGACACGGACGUCACUGGAGAAAGUGUGUGUUCCACUCCCAUUGGGCUGGAAGGAGGCGGAGCAGAGGAGCCUUCUCCUAAGAACCGGGAUCUCAGGGAGGUCAUCCAGGUGGGACCGAGGCCUCUUGCAGAAAGGCUGCGCUGACACCCAAAUGGGGGAGAAAGGCAACAGAACCAAGUGUUUGAGAGCACUGUGAAGGUAGACAGCAUCUCAGCGAGUCUCUCAGUAAGUCACACCUAGCUGCGGUGUGACCUUGGACGUGGCUGGGAAACUUUCUGAAUCUUGACUUCUUCAUCUGCAAGAGGUCACUAAUGGUAAUUACUCUAGAGAUGUGAGGAUGAUGAGGUAAUACAUGUAAGCCCUCAGACCGGUGGUUGGCAUAUGGUAAGCACUUAGCAAAUGGAAGAUAUUAGUAUGAGUACUGGAUCUCAAAGAGGACAUGGCAGCGUGACAUUUAGCCAGGUGUGGGAGCGCAUACCUGUAAAACUCAGCUACUUGGGAGGCCCAAAGUCACUGAAGCAAGAGGAUGGUUUGAUGCCAGCUUGGCUAGGCAUGGUGAAUGCCUGUAAUGCCAGCUGUGUCUGAGGGAGGCCAGCCUGGGCUACACAGUGAGUUCAAGG